ACGGAAGGCAGCAGUGGGGAAUAUUGCACAAUGGGGGAAACCCUGAUGCAGCGACGCCGCGUGAGUGAAGGAGUAUUUCGGUAUGUAAAGCUCUAUCAGCAGGAAAGAAAAUGACGGUACCUGACUAAGAAGCCCCGGCUAACUACGUGCCAGCAGCCGCGGUAAUACGUAGGGGGCAAGCGUUAUCCGGAUUUACUGGGUGUAAAGGGAGCGUAGACGGCUUUGCAAGUCUGAAGUGAAAGCCCGGGGCUCAACCCCGGAACUGCUUUGGAAACUGUAGAGCUAGAGUGCAGGAGAGGUAAGUGGAAUUCCUAGUGUAGCGGUGAGAUGCGUAGAUAUUAGGAGGAACACCAGUGGCGAAGGCGGCUUACUGGACUGUAACUGACGUUGAGGCUCGAAGGCGUGGGGAGCAAACAGGAUUAGAUACCCUGGUA
Molecule: ribosomal RNA, 434 nt
Filed under: uncultured Clostridium sp.
Lineage: Bacteria; Bacillati; Bacillota; Clostridia; Eubacteriales; Clostridiaceae
Description: partial 16S ribosomal RNA
Rfam family: Bacterial small subunit ribosomal RNA
Source: RNAcentral